Molecule: ribosomal RNA, 374 nt
Filed under: uncultured bacterium
Lineage: Bacteria
Description: bacterial SSU rRNA
Rfam family: Bacterial small subunit ribosomal RNA
Source: RNAcentral
GACGAACCGUGCGAACGUUGUUCGGAUUCACUGGGCUUAAAGGGCGCGUAGGCGGGCAUUCAAGUCAGGGGUGAAAGCCCCCGGCCUAACCGGGGAAGUGCCUCUGAGACUGAGUGUCUCGAGUGGGGUAGGGGCAGUUGGAACUCUCGGUGGAGCGGUGAAAUGCGUAGAUAUCGGGAGGAACGCCGGUGGCGAAAGCGGGCUGCUGGACCCCUUCUGACGCUGAGGCGCGAAAGCCAGGGGAGCGAACGGGAUUAGAUACCCCGGUAGUCCUGGCCCUAAACGAUGGGUACCAGGCUGUGGGCUGACAUGGGCUCCCAGCCGAGGCAAAAGUGUUAAGUACCCCGCCUGGGGAGUAUGGUCGCAAGGCUGAA